This 471-nucleotide ribosomal RNA is filed under the name uncultured bacterium. RNAcentral's name for it is "bacterial SSU rRNA". It matches the Rfam family "Bacterial small subunit ribosomal RNA", at positions 37 to 518 of the family's 1533-position model. The record is from RNAcentral.
UGGCGGCGUGCUUAACACAUGCAAGUCGAACGAGGAUAGUAGGAGCUUGCUUUGACUAUUCGAGUGGCGGACGGGUGAGUAACGCGUGAACAAUCUGUCUCACACAGGGGAAUAACGCAUCGAAAGAUGUGCUAAUACCGCAUAGGACCACGAGGUCGCAUGGCUUUGAGGUGAAAGGAGAAAUCCGGUGUGAGGUGAGUUCGCGUCUGGAUUAGAUAGUUGGUGAGGUAACGGCCCACCAAGUCAACGAUCAGUAGCCGACCUGAGAGGGUGAUCGGCCACAUUGGGACUGAGACACGGCCCAGACUCCUACGGGAGGCAGCAGUGGGGAAUAUUGGGCAAUGGGCGCAAGCCUGACCCAGCAACGCCGCGUGAAGGAAGAAGGUUUUCGGAUCGUAAACUUCUGUCCUAUGAGAAGAUAAUGACGGUAUCAUAGGAGGAAGCCCCGGCUAACUACGUGCCAGCCGCAGC